This 757-nucleotide ribosomal RNA is filed under the name Acinetobacter sp. G4. RNAcentral's name for it is "bacterial SSU rRNA". It matches the Rfam family "Bacterial small subunit ribosomal RNA", at positions 58 to 807 of the family's 1533-position model. The record is from RNAcentral. Lineage: Bacteria; Pseudomonadati; Pseudomonadota; Gammaproteobacteria; Moraxellales; Moraxellaceae.
GCAGUCGAGCGAGGAGGUUGCUUCUGUACUGACCUACCGGCGGACGGAUGAGUGAUACUUAGGAAUCUGCCUAGUACUGGGGGAGACAUCUCUCCAGGAAUGCUAAUACCGCAUACGCCCUACUUUUGAAAUGAAGGGAUCACUUGUGACCUUGCGUUUCUACAGGAGCCUAUGUCUGAUUACCUAUCUGGUGAGGUAAAUGCCUACCAAGGCGACCAUCUGUACCGGGUCUGAUAGGAUGAUCCGCCACACUGGCACUGACACUGGGGCCGAACUCCUACCGAAAGUCCCACUGGAGAAUAUUGUACAAUGUCUUCAACCCUGAUCCAACCUUGCCGCGAGUGUGACCACGGGCUUAUGGUUGUAUUUCACUUUAAACGAAUAUGAUGCUCUCUUGGAUAAUACGCUAGAUGAAUGGACUUUACUCUUGAAAUAACCUCCGGCUAACUCUGUGCCUACAUCCGCGGUAAUACCCAAGGUGCUACCGUUAUUCGGAUUUACUGCCCGUAUUACGGGCGUAAGCGCCUUUUUAAGUCGUAUGUUAAAUCCCCGAGCUUAACUUGCGGAAUUGCAUUCGAUACUGCGAAGCUAGAUGAUGGAAUAGGAUGGUAAAAAUCCAGUGUAAUGCUGAUGUGCGUAGAGAUCUGGGAGGANACCGAUGGCAAAGCCAGUGCCUCUGGCCUAAUUUCUGACCCUGAGUACAAAUGCAUGGGGGAACAAACGGGAUUAAAUACCCUGGUAAAUCCCUGGCGUAAAC